AGGGUGUAAACGCUGCGGGCUUGGUGUUGGGGGUCCUUUGGGGCGCCCAGUGCCGGAGAGAAGUUGUUAAGCCUGCUGCUUGGGGAGUACGUCCGCAAGGAUGAAACUUAAAGGAAUUGGCGGGGGAGCACCGCAACGGGAGGAGCGUGCGGUUCAAUUGGAUUCAACGCCGGACAACUCACCAGGAGCGACGGUUACAUGAAGGCCAGGCUGAAGACUUUGCCGGAUUAGCUGAGAGGUGGUGCAUGGCGUAGUCGUGU
This 260-nucleotide ribosomal RNA is filed under the name uncultured archaeon. RNAcentral describes it as "partial 16S ribosomal RNA". It matches the Rfam family "Archaeal small subunit ribosomal RNA", at positions 748 to 1009 of the family's 1478-position model. The record is from RNAcentral.